AUGUUAUCAAGAAAGGCUGAAGGAAUAGACCUGUUGACGCCUUAGCAACCCUGCAAACUAUUGGAGAAGGUGCUAAAUUCUACUUCUUAUAUUUUUAUAAUUAGAUAGAUAACAA
This 115-nucleotide non-coding RNA is filed under the name Formosa sp. Hel3_A1_48. RNAcentral's name for it is "SAM riboswitch aptamer (S box leader)". It matches the Rfam family "SAM riboswitch aptamer (S box leader)". From Rfam's summary of the family: The SAM riboswitch is found upstream of a number of genes which code for proteins involved in methionine or cysteine biosynthesis in Gram-positive bacteria. The SAM riboswitch acts at the level of transcription termination control. Lineage: Bacteria; Pseudomonadati; Bacteroidota; Flavobacteriia; Flavobacteriales; Flavobacteriaceae. RNAcentral also lists the same sequence under 1 other name. The record is from Rfam by way of RNAcentral.